This 663-nucleotide ribosomal RNA is filed under the name Leptolyngbya sp. FB080. RNAcentral's name for it is "bacterial SSU rRNA". It matches the Rfam family "Bacterial small subunit ribosomal RNA", at positions 98 to 797 of the family's 1533-position model. The record is from RNAcentral. Lineage: Bacteria; Bacillati; Cyanobacteriota; Cyanophyceae; Leptolyngbyales; Leptolyngbyaceae.
UCGGACGGGGUGAGUAACGCGUAGAAUCUGCCUUCAGGAGGGGGAUAACGACUAGAAAUGGUCGCUAAUACCCCAUAUGCCUAUGGGUGAAAUGAGUUUUGCCUGAAGAUGAGCUCGCGUCAGAUUAGCUAGUUGGUGAGGUAACGGCUCACCAAGGCGACGAUCUGUAGCUGGUCUGAGAGGAUGAUCAGCCACACUGGGACUGAGACACGGCCCAGACUCCUACGGGAGGCAGCAGUGGGGAAUUUUCCGCAAUGGGCGAAAGCCUGACGGAGCAAGACCGCGUGAGGGAUGACGGCCUAAUGGUUGUAAACCUCUUUUAUUCGGGAAGAUAAUGACGGUACCGAAUGAAUCAGCCUCGGCUAACUCCGUGCCAGCAGCCGCGGUAAUACGGAGGAGGCAAGCGUUAUCCGGAAUUAUUGGGCGUAAAGCGUCCGUAGGUGGUUAUACAAGUCAGCUGUUAAAGAGUGGUGCUUAACACCAUAAAGGCGGUUGAAACUGUAGGACUAGAGUUUGGUAGGGGUUGCGGGAAUUCCCAGUGUAGCGGUGAAAUGCGUAGAUAUUGGGAAGAACACCGGUGGCGAAAGCGCGCGACUGGACCUGAACUGACACUGAGGGACGAAAGCUAGGGGAGCGAAAGGGAUUANAUACCCCUGUAGUCAA